RNAcentral lists this ribosomal RNA (331 nucleotides) under Boaedon fuliginosus (brown house snake). Its description in RNAcentral is "partial 12S ribosomal RNA". Lineage: Eukaryota; Metazoa; Chordata; Lepidosauria; Squamata; Lamprophiidae. The record is from RNAcentral.
UGAAAACUUAAAACUUAAAAGACUUGACGGUACUUCACACCAACCUAGAGGAGCCUGUCUAAUAACCGAUAACCCACGAUCAACCCAACCUUUUCUAGCCCAACAGUCUAUAUACCGCCGUCGCCAGCUUACCUUAUGAAAGAAACAAAGUAAGCCAAACAGCACUAAACACUAACACGACAGGUCGAGGUGUAACUUAUGAAAAGGACAAAAGAUGGGCUACAUUUUCUAACCUAGAACAAACGAAUAGACUAUGAAAACAGAAACUGAAGGCGGAUUUAGCAGUAAGUUAAGAACAACAUACUUUACCGAAACCAGCAAUGAAGUGCGC